CUUCUGCCCCAGGCACUAUGAGACCAACCAACCGAACCAGCCUUUGAAGACCCCGGUUAAUCGCUGGGAGAGCGUGUGAAUGACAGCCGACACACCUCAACGGAGGCGAAGGAAGGAAGGAAGGAAGGUGGGCGUGGACCGGCCGUUUUCCCUCGAGCCGCGCGACCAUCUUUCAAGGCCGCUUCUUCCCGGGGGGGGGCGCUUAUCUGGACGAGCCCCCCUCCAAGUGAAAUCACUGCCAAGAUUCAGAGCCCUCCCAGUGACGUCAUCCAAGACCCCCGCCUCGGGCGCGAGAAAAGCGGUGGGCCACUAAGGAGGCCUCGCGCCCACCCAUUCGCCCGAGCAGAAGGCGCCUCCAGGCAGGCCCGAGUCCCACCUUGGCCUUCUAUGAGGGGAAAACACCGCCUGGAAUGGGUGUGAGAGAGAGAGAAAGAGAGGGAAACCCCCACCCCGCCGCCUCAAAAGGGACAAAACUAUCCCCAGCCUCGGGCCUUCCUAGUCCGGCUUCUCUCACCUUACCUUAGCCACGUAGUCUUUCACCUCGUCCAGGUCGCCGUUUUUGAGGGCCCACAUGAACUCCUUGUCGGACAUAGCGGCGGCCGCCCUGACCGGGACUCGGCGCCAAAGGCCACGAUUCAGACUCCAACAGGGGCAUGACAGAAGAUGAGAGAAGGCCGCUCCGCUGGUAUGAACAUCAUGUCCUGAGAGCAGCACCUUCCACCUACCAACUAGAAGUCAAUGGCUGGCAAGCCUUGCGGGCGUCCAAAACAGAUGGCAAGACACUAUCAACAAAGAUAUGCAAGUCAUGGACCUGCAUAUAUCCCUGGAGAUGCAGCUGAUUGUGCAAAGUGGCUUUCAAUGAUCCGAAAAGCGGACCUUGCACUUGCGGGAAUACGCUAGGAAGAAGAAGAACAAAAACAAAUACUCUAUUCAGUGUUAAAUGUAGUCACUCUUAUAUAAAUAUUACAAAUUUAUAUAUUUGAAUGUAACCAUAUUAUUAGCAGAAGAUGCCAUUAAUGCUAAGUCUCAUUAAUAAAAGAUAACUCUGUGAA
Molecule: non-coding RNA, 1052 nt
Organism: Pantherophis guttatus
Lineage: Eukaryota; Metazoa; Chordata; Lepidosauria; Squamata; Colubridae
Source: RefSeq, a predicted model, not a curated record